GCUCAAGCAAUCCUCCCACCUCAGCCUCCUGAGUUGCUGGGACCACAGGUGCAUGCCACCAUGCUGGGCUAACUUUAUUAUUUUUUGUAGAGAUGGGGGGUCUUGGACUUCUGGGCUCAAGUGAUCUGCCUCGGCCUCCCACAGUGCAGGGAUUACAGGCACGCACCACCAUGCCCAGCCUCACACCAUGUUAAUUGUUUUAUCCAUCCUCAUCCAUACCCCACUUACCAUAGCAUGUACAAAAGGACAGAAAACAUAAACUCAUGCCUGGCAGAGAGCUUCUACUCUGAAGAAACAACAACCGAAGUGUCACAGGAUGAAUCUAUGCUAUUUGGAGAGGGAGUAUACAUUUAACUUGAAGCAAUCCCUGGAAGAAAAAUUCUACUAGCAGAGAUGCUCUGAGCAGAGAGAAAGCCUGUCUAUAUAGUGAAAGAAUGAAACCAAUACAUUGAAAAAAACUGAGAAGAGAAAGAGGUAGAGACUUCAUCUGAUACAAGCAUGCUUGAAACAAGAGACACCUGUAUGAUUCCAUCUUCCCAGGAGCUAGCAGGCAGUUCUUGUUGAGUUCAAGCCAGUUGAGACCAUCAACCCUUCAACUGAGCCUGCAUGGGUGCGUAAAGUGUGACCUUUUGAUGUCAAAGGGCCAAAACCUGCACCCUCCUUUCAUGCUAAUUCAACCAUUUUCUGAACAUGCAUCCUAUGAAGAGCCAUGUAGCUCAAUUAUGCUUGUGCAGAAACCCUGAUUACCUCACCUUUCCCACCUGCCAAUCACCUUUACCCAUACUUCACACCAUCCUGCUUUCUAUCCCGCUAAUUACCCCUAAGCCCUGUUUUCAGGGAGGUGGAUUUGCGAUUUGUUCUCCUUCUCCUUGCUCAGCAGCCUGGUAAGCAAUCUCACAAAAUAAAAUCUUUUCUUUUUUGCAAA
Molecule: long non-coding RNA, 925 nt
Filed under: Homo sapiens (human)
Lineage: Eukaryota; Metazoa; Chordata; Mammalia; Primates; Hominidae
Description: HSALNT0027830
Source: RNAcentral